This 329-nucleotide unclassified non-coding RNA is filed under the name soil metagenome. Its description in RNAcentral is "partial contains 5.8S ribosomal RNA, internal transcribed spacer 2, and large subunit ribosomal RNA". The stretch from base 1 to 120 matches the Rfam family "5.8S ribosomal RNA", at positions 35 to 154 of the family's 154-position model. The record is from RNAcentral.
GAUGAAGAACGUAGUGAAAUGCGAUACGUAAUGUGAAUUGCAGAAUUCAGUGAAUCAUCGAGUCUUUGAACGCACAUUGCGCCCCCUGGUAUUCCGGGGGGCAUGCCUGUUCGAGCGUCAUUUCACCACUCAAGCCUGGCUUGGUGUUGGGCGACGUCCUCUUUGGGGACGCGCCUCGAAACGCUCGGCGGCGUGGCACCGGCUUUAAGCGUAGCAGAAUCUUUCGCUUUGGAAGUCGGGGCCCCGUCUGCCGGAAGACCUGCUCGCAAGGUUGACCUCGGAUCAGGCAGGGAUACCCGCUGAACUUAAGCAUAUCAAUAAGCGGAGGA